Molecule: ribosomal RNA, 497 nt
Filed under: uncultured bacterium
Lineage: Bacteria
Description: partial 16S ribosomal RNA
Rfam family: Bacterial small subunit ribosomal RNA
Source: RNAcentral
GAUGAACGCUGGCGGCGUGCCUAAUACAUGCAAGUCGAGCGAACAGAUGAGGAGCUUGCUCCUCUGACGUUAGCGGCGGACGGGUGAGUAACACGUGGAUAACCUACCUAUAAGACUGGGAUAACUUCGGGAAACCGGAGCUAAUACCGGAUAAUAUAUUGAACCGCAUGGUUCAAUAGUGAAAGACGGUUUUGCUGUCACUUAUAGAUGGAUCCGCGCCGCAUUAGCUAGUUGGUAAGGUAACGGCUUACCAAGGCAACGAUGCGUAGCCGACCUGAGAGGGUGAUCGGCCACACUGGAACUGAGACACGGUCCAGACUCCUACGGGAGGCAGCAGUAGGGAAUCUUCCGCAAAGGGCGAAAGCCUGACGGAGCAACGCCGCGUGAGUGAUGAAGGUCUUCGGAUCGUAAAACGCUGUUAUUAGGGAAGAACAAAUGCGUAAGUAACUAUGCACGUCUUGACGGUACCUAAUCAGAAAGCCACGGCUAACUACGUG